Molecule: ribosomal RNA, 254 nt
Filed under: uncultured bacterium
Lineage: Bacteria
Description: partial 16S ribosomal RNA
Rfam family: Bacterial small subunit ribosomal RNA
Source: RNAcentral
GACAGAGGGUGCGAGCGUUAAUCGGAAUUACUGGGCGUAAAAGGCGCGUAGGCGGUGAGGAGCUGUGUGAUGUGAAAGCCCCGGGCUUAACCUGGGAAGUGCAUUGCAAACUACCUGACUGGAGUAGAGUAGAGGGUGUUAGAAUUUCCGGUGUAGCGGUGAAAUGCGUAGAGAUCGGAAGGAAGGCCGAUGGCGAAGGCAGGCACCUGGACUUUAACUGACGCUGAGGCGCGAAAGCGUGGGGAGCGAACAGG